Molecule: ribosomal RNA, 423 nt
Filed under: uncultured bacterium
Lineage: Bacteria
Description: partial 16S ribosomal RNA
Rfam family: Bacterial small subunit ribosomal RNA
Source: RNAcentral
AAUCUUCCGCAAUGGACGAAAGUCUGACGGAGCAACGCCGCGUGAGUGAUGAAGGUUUUCGGAUCGUAAAACUCUGUUGUUAGGGAAGAACAAGUACGAGAGUAACUGCUCGUACCUUGACGGUACCUAACCAGAAAGCCCCGGCUAACUACGUGCCAGCAGCCGCGGUAAUACGUAGGGGGCGAGCGUUGUCCGGAAUUAUUGGGCGUAAAGUGCGCGCAGGCGGUCCUUUAAGUCUGAUGUGAAAGCCCACGGCUUAACCGUGGAGGGUCAUUGGAAACUGGAGGACUUGAGUGCAGAAGAGGAGAGUGGAAUUCCAUGUGGAGCGGUGAAAUGCGUAGAGAUAUGGAGGAACACCAGUGGCGAAGGCGACUCUCUGGUCUGUAACUGACGCUGAGGCGCGAAAGCGUGGGGAGCGAACAG